RNAcentral lists this ribosomal RNA (542 nucleotides) under uncultured bacterium. RNAcentral's name for it is "bacterial SSU rRNA". It matches the Rfam family "Bacterial small subunit ribosomal RNA", at positions 360 to 893 of the family's 1533-position model. The record is from RNAcentral.
AAUUUUGGACAAUGGGGCAACCCUGAUCCAGCCAUUCCGCGUGAGUGAAGAAGGCCUUCGGGUUGUAAAGCUCUUUUGUCGGGGACGAAACGGUUUCAACUAAUACUUGAGACUACUGACGGUACCCGAAGAAUAAGCACCGGCUAACUACGUGCCAGCAGCCGCGGUAAUACGUAGGGUGCGAGCGUUAAUCGGAAUUACUGGGCGUAAAGCGUGCGCAGGCGGUUUUGUAAGCCAGAUGUGAAAUCCCCGGGCUCAACCUGGGAAUGGCAUUUGGAACUGCAAAGCUAGAGUAUGGCAGAGGAGACUAGAAUUCCUGGUGUAGCAGUGAAAUGCGUAGAUAUCAGGAGGAAUACCGAUGGCGAAGGCAGGUCUCUGGGUCAAUACUGACGCUCAUGCACGAAAGCGUGGGGAGCAAACAGGAUUAGAUACCCUGGUAGUCCACGCCCUAACUCGAUCUCACCCUGCUUCUUGGGNNAUCUAUUUUCUUACUAACGCAGCUAACGCGUGAAGUUGACCGCAUUCGGAGUACUUUCCCGAGU